CAGAAAAUAGUUUAAAAAGAAUAUUAAUUUUGGAGAUUAAAGGUGUAUAAUUAAGGUAUAUUUUUUUGA
This 69-nucleotide transfer RNA is filed under the name Hypoponera sauteri. RNAcentral describes it as "tRNA-Pro". The record is from RNAcentral. Lineage: Eukaryota; Metazoa; Arthropoda; Insecta; Hymenoptera; Formicidae.